RNAcentral lists this small RNA (148 nucleotides) under Mesorhizobium sp. Root157. RNAcentral describes it as "rpsB sRNA". It matches the Rfam family "rpsB sRNA". Lineage: Bacteria; Pseudomonadati; Pseudomonadota; Alphaproteobacteria; Hyphomicrobiales; Phyllobacteriaceae. The record is from Rfam by way of RNAcentral.
CACACACGGACUUUGGUGUCUGCCGGGAGAAAUCCGGCUGAAACCUCCGGUGGCGGUCAAGACAAUCCCGAAAAGCGCAAGCCUUUCGAUCCGGUGAGUCCGAAGCCGUCAAGUGUCCGUGGAGGUCAACCGGAAAGGAACUAAAGAA